This 430-nucleotide ribosomal RNA is filed under the name Escherichia coli. RNAcentral describes it as "bacterial SSU rRNA". It matches the Rfam family "Bacterial small subunit ribosomal RNA", at positions 1096 to 1526 of the family's 1533-position model. Lineage: Bacteria; Pseudomonadati; Pseudomonadota; Gammaproteobacteria; Enterobacterales; Enterobacteriaceae. The record is from RNAcentral.
GCGCAACCCUUAUCCUUUGUUGCCAGCGGUCCGGCCGGGAACUCAAAGGAGACUGCCAGUGAUAAACUGGAGGAAGGUGGGGAUGACGUCAAGUCAUCAUGGCCCUUACGACCAGGGCUACACACGUGCUACAAUGGCGCAUACAAAGAGAAGCGACCUCGCGAGAGCAAGCGGACCUCAUAAAGUGCGUCGUAGUCCGGAUUGGAGUCUGCAACUCGACUCCAUGAAGUCGGAAUCGCUAGUAAUCGUGGAUCAGAAUGCCACGGUGAAUACGUUCCCGGGCCUUGUACACACCGCCCGUCACACCAUGGGAGUGGGUUGCAAAAGAAGUAGGUAGCUUAACCUUCGGGAGGGCGCUUACCACUUUGUGAUUCAUGACUGGGGUGAAGUCGUAACAAGGUAACCGUAGGGGAACCUGCGGUUGGAUCAC